Mercenaria mercenaria is the source of this 564-nucleotide long non-coding RNA. RefSeq lists it as uncharacterized. The record is from RefSeq and is a predicted model, not a curated record. The transcript is spliced from 2 exons. Lineage: Eukaryota; Metazoa; Mollusca; Bivalvia; Venerida; Veneridae.
CUUCUACAUCCGCCCGCUUAGCCCAAUAGGGAGAGCGCAGCUCUACGGAUCUCGGGGUCGUAACUUGAGCCCUGUGCGAGGCGUAUGUUCUCCGUGACGAUUUAAUAAAAGACAUUGUGUCUGAAAUCAUUCGACUUUGAGCACAAUGGAAUGGAUUAUUGGUAAUCUGUCCGAGUCUCACCCAAACCUGUGCAAAGUCGCUACAGUGGGACUGCUUCUACCAACCUCCACAGCUGAUUGUGAGAGAGGUUUCAGCAGUUGAAUGUGUAAAGACCACCCGCCAUUCACCAGUGAGCAUGAAAGUGCUUAAUGCCUUACUCAUGGUGUCUAUGCAGGGACAAAAAUUGAAUGACUUUAAUUUCAGUUGUGCAGUAAAGGAACGGCACAGUGCCAAUGACAGACACUUAUAUAAAAAAAUGCCUAUGUGUUGUUAGUGUUAGUACAAAAGAAGUGGAAGGACAUAUGUGUUGUUUCGAAAAUACUUAUAAAAGAAGUGGACAUCUGUGUAGUGUAUAUGAUAUAUUGAUGUUUAUAUGAUUAUGUGAAAAUGUAGAAGUAAUGAAA